AUUUAUUUAAGGUAAGAUCAAAGCAUUAUCUAUGAUCCUUUUAGUUUACGAAGAAUUUUCAGGAGAUUUGACGAUUUCUUCUUCUAUUUAUAUAGGCCCGCGUUUGAUUUUAUAAACCUGACAGUGCAUAUUUGGUGUUGGGAAUCAUUGUGUUCAAGCUGUCGCUGAUCAAUAUAUUGAUCAGACACUUUGCGUGUUGGUCACGGUGUGGCAACAGGCAACUCAAAUAAAAUUUACAUCAAUUCUAAACAAACAAACGGAUACAAACGAGAUCCGUUGUACGAAGGUAUCACGUGACUCAGAGCUACAGUAUAUUAUAUAAAACUGCAAAUUUUACAGACCUCUAUUACUACUGCUGAUAAAUCAAGUCCCAGUGAUAGAAUAUAUUGCAUUUG
This is a non-coding RNA of Paramuricea clavata, 395 nucleotides long. The record is from the annotation of a GenBank genome assembly. Lineage: Eukaryota; Metazoa; Cnidaria; Anthozoa; Malacalcyonacea; Plexauridae.